UCUUUCUUUUCUUUUGCUUCUACUUUAUGUGCCUAGGGUUGCUUCUAUUUUGAAAAACAGUUCUCUCUCUUCCUCUACCUCUCUCUUCCUCUUCCUCUUUCUUUUGUCUCUCUUUCUCUGAUAUCGAUCUUCUUCUGAUUUCUGUGCAGAUGAAUAUGAUGUUGGUGACGACGAUGAACACGUUUGCUGAUGAUAUCGUGAUGUUGAUUUUGAACUGUUGAUGGUUGUUGAUGAUGAUGUUGGUGACGCUCAAAGUCACAGCAAAUCGGUGAGAUCUUUCUUUGUUUUUAGUGUUUUGAGUUCUCUAAUCUCUCUUCUUCUCUUAAUAUUUUCUGAAGGGUUUGUGUAAAAAAUAGGAAGAUGAUGAUAAAAUAGGGUUUCAUGAAAUGUUAGUGUUGUAUCUCAUUUACUUAAUAUGAAAUGCGUUCUUUUUCUUUCUUCUUAUUGUUUUUGGAAAAUUUGUAUACAUGAGGAUGAUGAUGAUGGAAUUUUAGGGUUUUAGUUUUGUAUUCUGCUGCAGUGAAAAAAUGUGAAUCAGAUUCUCUUUACUGUGAACCAAAGUUUAUUUGUGAUUUGUAGUAAAGAUUAAGCUCAUGAUUUCAAUCAUUCCCCUUAAAAAUUCUGAUUCCUUCACAUAAACCCUAAUGAUGAAAUCUGACAGUAUGUUCAGUGUUCCCGAAAAUGAGAGUCUCUGUCAUGGUACCCGAUAUUGUUUCGUUCAUCAGUAUUAUAUCAGCUUGUGCAAAUGUUGCUUCUAAAAAGCAAGGUAAGGACAUUCAUGGACAUCUGGUAAGAAAGCUUUUCGAUACUUUUUUUUGCAGCAAAUUCCCUUUUUAAUUUUUGCUCAAGGCCUCAUUCCUCAUAUUCUCCGUUUGUAAGCGCUCUUUCUCACACUUUCUACAACCUCCACAAUAUUCUACCGCUGCAUUCUUACUGUGUGGACGUUGAUGUGGUGUUUCAGAUAUGGAUUAACUGCCACUGCUCGUGAUUUUGAAAUCUAUGAUCCCGAUGCUUCCUUUAAGGAUCCUCUUAUGCGUGCACACGGGGUGAAGUAGAUCAAAUCCGCAUUCUAUUCUCUUCCUAAGUUGCACAUGGCGUUCAUUUUACAGGGAGAUGUUUGUAUGAAUUUGCGCACUGUUGUUCAGAAAAAUGAGUUGCAGUUGCAGAAUCAAAAACAUACGGGUGCUGGAACAAGUCUACCGCGUGACAGUUUCGAACAAGAUGUGUUAAGUGUUAUUGUGCCUAUUUUCGUCGAAAGUGGAAUUAUACUGCUUUUCUCUUUAAGUAAUUGCCUGUCAUUUUCUGAAUUAAAACUAAACCAGUAAAGAACAGCGUUGAUGCAGUUUUGCGGUUGUCGCCGAAAGUGUGUGCAUUUUAAUGCUGUCAAGUAUACUUAGAUUCAUAAACUGAACCAUUAGAACAUUCAAUUGUGUUUUGUUUAUCACAUUAAUUAAUUGAUUUUCGUUGUUCAUGCAUAGCAAAGAUCAUUAAGCUAUGAAGGGUUUUGGAUAAUGCAACGAUUGGAGUUAUUAUGCAUCAUUUUUGAAGUCCAGCGAAAGUAUGUUGUAUUUAGGUAUUGUUUGUGUUGUAUUUAUUGUUGUUUAAAUGGUGUUGGUGAAAAGGAUCAUGAACAUGAAAUUAAGAAAGAAUUGGGUGAUUCAAUUGAAGGUGCUGAGAGGAAAAAAAGUGGUAGAACAUUGAAAAAGAUGCUUUUUUCACUAUCUUAUGCUUUUAUAGUUGUUGUUUUGGGAGUGAUUUUGGGUUUCAUAAGAAGGUCUAAUGAUUUUGGGUUUCAUAAGGAUUUUGUGAUAGCAGUUUGUAACCUAUCUUCUGAUUUAUUUCCCACCAAGGAUUUUUCAGUGACAGUUGGGUUGAUGAAUCUUCUGAGUGGUUGGUUUGGCGCUAUGCCAUGUUGUCAUGGUGCUGGUGGAUUAGCGGGACAGUAUAAAUUUGGUGGGAGGAGUGGAGGGUGUGUGGCAAUUCUGAGUGCCGCGAAGUUGGUUUUGGGUUUUUGGUUGGGAAGUUCGUUGGCACAUUUCUUCAAACAGUUUUCGGUGGGGAUUUUAGGAGUGUUGUUGCUGUUUGCUGGGAUUGAAUUGGCUAUGCCUAUGAAACUGGUGUUAGCAAUGAUUUGUAUGAUUUC
Long non-coding RNA from Vicia villosa (hairy vetch), 2143 nucleotides. RefSeq lists it as uncharacterized. The transcript has 3 exons. The record is from RefSeq and is a predicted model, not a curated record. Lineage: Eukaryota; Viridiplantae; Streptophyta; Magnoliopsida; Fabales; Fabaceae.